Gymnothorax javanicus (giant moray) is the source of this 86-nucleotide non-coding RNA. NCBI's taxonomy places the organism in Eukaryota, Metazoa, Chordata, Actinopteri, Anguilliformes, Muraenidae. The record is from the annotation of a GenBank genome assembly.
GCUGCCGGAUAGCUCACUCGGUUAAAGCACCACACUGUGAAGCAGGAGUGACUAUCACGGCGCAGGUUCGAGCCCUGGUCGUACCA